This 71-nucleotide transfer RNA is filed under the name Marmota monax (woodchuck). Its description in RNAcentral is "tRNA.Ala". Lineage: Eukaryota; Metazoa; Chordata; Mammalia; Rodentia; Sciuridae. The record is from RNAcentral.
GUGGUUUUAACUCAGUGGUAGAGCGCUUGCCUAGCAUGUGUGAGGCACUGGGUUCAAUCCUCAACAUCACA